CUAGGUAACAAUACUUCGUGGGGCUGGGCCAAAGUUUUCCAGAAGGCCAUGUAUGCUCUGAAUCAGUGUCCAAUAUAUGAUACUGUUUCUUCCAUAGCCAGGAUUCACUGGUCCAGGAUUCACUGGUCCAGGAAUCAAAGGGUGGAAGUGGAAGUGUCACCACUCACCAUCACCCCUAGUGAUCCACUAGCAAAAUUGUUGCUUCCUAUUCCUGCGACAUUACAUUCUGCUGGCCAGAGGUCUUAGUUCCAGAGGGAGGAACGCUGCCACCAGAAGAGACAAUAACGAUUCCAUUAAACUGGAAGUUAAGAUUGCCACCUGGACACUUUGGACUCCUCUUACUUUUAAGUCAACAGGCUAAGAAGGGAGUUACAGUGUUGGCUGGGGUGAUUGACCCGGACUAUCACAAUGAAAUCAGUCUACUACUCCACAAUGGAGGUAUUCAUCAACACCACAGAUACCAGUGGCUGUGAUAAAGAGACCUCCGUCUUUCCCCAUUAAAGCCUUUGCCCUAUGUGGCCCACUCAUCUUUGGCAGAAGUUCUGAUCAUAAAGACCGAGACCUGGCAUGCUUUGAGCGCUCAGUGAUUAUUUGCUCAUAGACUGAUAACUUUCUCCCUUCCGAGUCAGCACCCUCUACCACUGGUUGCAUCUCUCCUGCCAAAUGAGAUUACCUGAAGAGUUUAUAAUUAACCCUGUCAUACCAUGGGAGAGACUCAGGUUGUCUAGAUGCCUCGUGUCAAUCUUUGCUAGGGCACAAACUCCAUGAACAUCGCUUUCAUAUAGUUAUCCUUCAAAUUCACAAUUUAGAAACAUUUCUGCAACACUCUGGGUGCCUUGGUGGUUGGAUACCAUUUGGGAAAUCAUUUAUCCUUUGGAGAUGUAAAUAAUUGGCAGGACUCGGCUGCAGUGUUCUCAUCAGACAUUAGAGUGUUGCCAGUAAUCAAACCUAUUGCAUGUCAGCUGCUUUCCAGCAUCAUUCUUUUCUAUCUUACAGCAUGACACUUUCUGGAUUGCAGUGAAAUAAAGAAACAGCAACAUGCAUGCUUGCUUGAAGGAAGUGUGAUGAGGCAUUCCUGAUUUGGCAGGGGCAAUUCAUGAACACGCUUUAGAAAUAAGGGAUUUUAUUGGAAAGCUAUGAGGCAACAGUGCAUCCUAGUGGAUACAGUUUUGCUCUAAAAAUAAAAAAUACAUUUUAUUUCCCUACCUAGAUGGCUAACAUCAUGAGAAAUUUUGAAAAUGGCAUUUUUAGUCCAUGGUUUCUGGUUUUGCCUGAAGGGUUCAAAUCCUCCUCUCAAAAUAAAUCAAAGCUAUUAUGUGAGAUUCUCUUCUAAUAAUUUGAUUUUGUGUCAUAUAAGC
RNAcentral lists this long non-coding RNA (1358 nucleotides) under Homo sapiens (human). RNAcentral describes it as "HSALNT0309966". Lineage: Eukaryota; Metazoa; Chordata; Mammalia; Primates; Hominidae. The record is from RNAcentral.